CUCGCAUCCUCACAUCCCGAUUCAUAGAAACCACCAGCAGCCAAUCUCUCGUUCUCCCACUGCUAACCCUAGCCGCCGCCUGCUGCUUGCCUCGAUGCGCGCUGCGCCCCCCUGAAUGAAGAUCGGCGCUCGAGCGGCGGCCCUAGCCGGUGAAGACCGGCGCCCGAGCGGCAGGCCUGGCAGGUGAAGACGGGCACCUCGAGCGGCGGCCCUGAGCCCCUGACCGUGAAGACUGUCGCCCUGCGCCGCCGCCAACCCCAACCUCCCGUCGGUCGCUCCACCGCCUACGACGCGGCCGUCCGCCGCCGGUGCUCCACCUCCCGACGACCUGCCCACUUUUGGUUCUCAACAUCGCAGCUGAAGAUGUUUUCUGAACAUGAUGACAAACUGAAUGAGAAUCAAGAUGCAUUUAUGAGUGUAGAGGCAAAGGCAGAUGCAGAAGCAGCAGCUGCAGAAGCAGGAGACGAAUCUUCUUACUUUCUUUCAAAUAGAAAUGAUUAUGCAUGCAUGAAUCUUGUUGCUGGACCAUGAAUCAUGAAUGUUCUUACUUUGUGUCAUAUGAAUCUUGUUACUUGCUCUCAAAUGUAAACAUGUACUGGUACUUUGCUACUUGCUGUUGCAUAUAAACAUGUAUUGGUACUUUCUGCUCUCAAAUAUAAACAUGUAUUGGUACUGGAA
Molecule: long non-coding RNA, 678 nt
Organism: Aegilops tauschii subsp. strangulata
Lineage: Eukaryota; Viridiplantae; Streptophyta; Magnoliopsida; Poales; Poaceae
Source: RefSeq, a predicted model, not a curated record